Non-coding RNA from Cajanus cajan (pigeon pea), 572 nucleotides. NCBI's taxonomy places the organism in Eukaryota, Viridiplantae, Streptophyta, Magnoliopsida, Fabales, Fabaceae. The record is from RefSeq and is a predicted model, not a curated record.
GUUUCCCUCUCUCACGAAAACGUAAGGCUUUGUAACUAAGAACACUCCUUCAUCAGAAAAAUGCAAAUGACCUAGCCUCCCUCGACGCUCUCCAACUGCCUGUGAUUUCUAUAGCACCGAACAAGAAAAAUGCAAAUGACCUAGCCUCCCUCUCCGACGCUCUUCGACGUUCUCCGACUGCCUGCGAUUUCUAUAGCACCGAACAAGCUGGUGAACGAUCCUAAUUCACGGUACAACAAAUGAGAGUACCUUUGUCUGCUUUGCUGGAGAUGCAACAUAGAAGGGGAGCACAUUCAUGUACAAGGAAGAAACAGGGGAAUGUGACAAUACUGUUAAUUGCCAAACUUUGUGAGAGUGGAAUGUGAAAGUGUUUUGCAUUAUUAGUGCAGCAGGUAUUACUUCAUCAGCAAACCCUAUGCUUUAGUUUUUACUUUUUUGAGUAUGAUAUAUGUGUUGCUUAGAUGUUGUUCUUUUCAGCGUUCUCGAUUUGUUGGUUAGUUAUAUGUAUACGUUGGUUUGUAAGGGUAAUCCUCAAUUUAGAAACCGGUUUUGAGUUAUGCUCAAACUCGCUU